AUUGGAAAUGCCUCAUUGAGUAUCCAUGUGGUUUUGCUUUGCCUAUGGGUCUAUUUCUUAGGUCUGUGAUAAAGUAUUACAAGACAGCA
This 89-nucleotide small nucleolar RNA is filed under the name Fukomys damarensis (Damara mole-rat). Lineage: Eukaryota; Metazoa; Chordata; Mammalia; Rodentia; Bathyergidae. The record is from RNAcentral.